Molecule: non-coding RNA, 768 nt
Organism: Misgurnus anguillicaudatus (oriental weatherfish)
Lineage: Eukaryota; Metazoa; Chordata; Actinopteri; Cypriniformes; Cobitidae
Source: RefSeq, a predicted model, not a curated record
AGCAGCAAAUUUACUUCACCGUCGGUACGGCAGGUAAUGCGUCGAUAAAUUAAAACGAAACAGCGUUUCCAAGAACCGGUGUCUUAUAUGUAUGCUUGUUCCUCUCUUUUAAAAUGAAACAAUAAUUUAAGUGUUUGUACAUGAACUUGAAAACAUAAACGUAUUUGUCACCAAGACGGAGGCUGCGUGGAAGUGACUAUCGGUUAACAAACAUGUAUAUGUGUUAUAUGAAUUUAGAUGUGUUAUUGAGUCGUAUUUAGUUACUAUUUUAUAUUCAUUUCAUAAUAUUUUUGGGUUGUCUCCUGUGAUUUCAAAUUUAAAUUGACCAACCCUCUGAUCUGUGGCUGAUACUGUAACAGAGAUGUUAUGUUUUUAGCAGAGAUCAGAUGUGAUGUUGUUUUCCAAUUCUUUUUUUAGAGUGUGCAGAGUUUUAAACGUUCAUCCAUUGAUAAGGCUAGCAAGACCUUCAAACAACUUCAGCCAAUUGCAACAAAUGUGGUGGAAUUUCUUCUCUGGACAGAAUCCUCGAAACCCUUUCCUUUCGUCCUGGCCAUGGGAAACAUGCAGCAGAUCUCUCAAUCUUUAUUCUCAAUCAGUCUCUCUGAAUACGGAAGUGACUUAAACUGCAAUUCGGCCAAGAUGGCGACGGCACGCACCGCCUACUUUAAGCUUCAAAAAUGCUCUUCACAAACCAAUAGGUGACGUCACGGACACUACUUGCAUAUUUUUUACAGUCUCUGGUUUAAAGGCAUUUUAAGUGCUUGAAAA